UCCGUUCAAUAACAAUUAAGUGACCGAAAAAAAUGCCUCAAAAAUGACAAAAUCGCAAUAAUAAAGGUGUCAUAUUCAGGCGAAUAUUCUGUCAGAAACCAUGAACCGUUACUAAGGUUACAUUAGAAGAGCGGCUGAUUCGUGAAUGAAUGAUUCAUUUGAGUCGAAUCUUUGCAUGAAUCACUCGGUAAAGUGAACCGGUUCUCGAGGUUUCAAGUUCAACGAUCAACCGCCCACUUGAGGGCAAGAUUAUAUUGACGUAGACCUAAAUAUCGGUCUACGUCAAAUAUAGUAGACCCCCACCCCCCCAAAAAAACAAAGCUAUGGUAUGAUUUUUUGAAAACUUGAAAUAUAGUCAUAAGGACUGCUUUUAUUGUGAUUUUGUGGACUUGACAUUUUCAGUCAGCAUUCAUUGUAAGGCGUUCUACAGAAUUUAUCCUUUUGUAUUCCGAAAAAUAAAGAAAGUCAUACGGGCCUGUAACGACGUGAUGGUGAGUAAACGUUAACAGAAAGAUUUUGAGGUGAACUGUACUUUUAAUGUUGUGUUUGACAGAGGGAUACAAUACGAAGUCUUGGAGUAUUCUGCCAUCUAUUGGUCAUUCAAUGAACUUGCAAAGCUGUUUUGGUUUGUCGUUGACCUUCAAAUAUAACGAUUAAAGUAAAUCUUGUGAAACUAACAAAAUAUUAUGAGAGUAAAAUUAGCUUUAUAACAGUAUAACAGCCUGCCGGCUGAUUUCUUAAGCGAUUUGUUCACGUUCAUUACUUGUUCCAAAACCACUUUCUUCAGACCGUCACGUUUUGGUUGCAGGUAAUGGGUGACCGUCUUGACAAGUUCUGCGAAAGCAUAAUUACACAUUUCAGUCGAAAUUACAGCCCACAUUCACAUAGACUCCAUUGUUAAAAAGGCCCAGCAGAGGCUAUACUUCCUUCUCCAGCUGAGGAAGUUCAACCUGCCACAGGAGCUGCUGAAACAGUUCUACUCUCAUUGAAUCCGUCCUCUGCACGUCAAUAAUUGUCUGGUUCAGCUCUUCUACCAAAUCUGACCUCGGAAGACUACAGAGGGUAGUCCGGACUGCUGAGCGAAUCAUUGGUACAACCCUCCCUACUUUCCAAGAACUGUACUCAUCCAGAGUGAGCAAAAGGGCUGGUAAAAUCACUCUGGACCCCUCACAUGCAGCACACUCCCUCUUUGAACUGUUACCGUAUGGAUCCUCAACAUGAAUCCAUUACUUGAACAAGUUCGCACAAGGCUGGAUGUCAUAUAAUUUUGUGUAUGUUACAAUCAGAUAUGUAAAAUGUGACAAUUGCCUUUGAACUCUUGUUCGCAUAUUCUAGAUUAAAAUUAUCCUCCUGUAUGUUCGGUACUUUCUGAUCGGUGUGCAUGUCUUCAAAGUGUGUCUGUGCGUUUUAGAUAAGCUUCCUGCAUUGUUUAUAGUAAGGAAUGAAGGAACUGGGCCAUUUUUGGUGGGUUUGUUGCUAUGGAAAUGGACAGUGAGCACUUGGGUGAGUCUACAAGUCAAGCAGAUUGCGCACACUUGCACCUUCGUACGGUAAGAGAUCUCAUAAAAACUCUCAUAAUUUUAUUUUAUUUUUUUUACAAUUUGAAUAUCUGUAACACCAAAAUGUAACACCAGUUCCAUUUAAUUACACAGAUUAUUCACAUUUGAGGGCUACACUUACAUUUAAUUUAAAUCAAUCUCUCCUCCUGGGCUUUCUCUUGCACUGAACACCUCUGAGGAGCAUUUUAUUGCUCAGAAGCUGCUCUUUUGUAGCUCAGAUGAUGAGAAUGAAUGAAUGAAGAUCUCAUUUGAAAAGCAACAACUGAAAAGUUCAAGAGAUUUUAUUCAUGUUUCAUGGAGAUGUAAUGGAGAUUUAUUUUACCACAGAAGUGAGAAAAUCAGCAUCAAAUGAAUAAUAAAACAUGAAAAUGCUACUCACAAGCUGCUCUUUUGUAACUCAGGAGCUGUGAUGGAGAUUAAGUAUCCUUUUCAUUUUAGAUGUUUCUCCUAAAAUUUCUUUGGGAAACAAAAUGAGAUCAAUUCAGUUAUUAAAAGUUCAUAGCAAGAUCUCUGACUUUCGAUCGCAGACUCUGGUACCUUGAAAACUCUUGAGCACAAUCUGAGCACAACUCUACAGGUGUUAUUUUUAGAAGAAACUCUCCAUGUGCUCUUUGUUUAAUCUCCUUGCAGUUGAAGAGCAACACUUGAGAUGUUGAACAGAUAUAAUUUGUGAUUUUUCAUUUCUGUGGGGUUGCAAACACAACCCUGAAUGUUUAUUAAGUCACCUCAAAAAUGUAAUAAAGUAAGUCUGGCGCAAAGUGGAAAAUUUGAAUCUGAUCUUUAGGAAAAAAAUUUAUUUGUUCCCAUAACAACCCUUUUGUGAAGAUCACAGAAGAGGAAAAAUGCUAACAUUUCAGAAACAAUUGCAAACAAUGAAUCAUGCACUUGACAUAUUCCAUUGAUAACGCUUUGUGAUUUUCAUAUGAAUAUUAUUUCACGUCACACAUUUCUGUUCGGUUUCUGGUCUAAUAUGUGGCGGAAAGGAUUCUUACACAACAUCCUCUGUGCUCACGCUUGGUUUAGUGGAAGCAAAAGGUUGUUGAGCGCCAGCAUGUGUUCCCACACAUGCAGGCACACAUUAUUUCAUCAACACACUCACUUUUCCUCUUACAGCUACAAAUGGCACUAUUCUGUUUCUCUCGCUCUCUCUCUAUUUCUUUUUUUUUUUUUGGCUUACAAGGGGCAGUGCACUAGGAAUUUUGCUUCUAUUUUUGCAGUAUGUAGCCUACACAGCAAUGUAAGCUUUGGCGUUUAUUUAGCGUUGCAUACUGCAUACUAUUUUUAUUAUAAAAUAUAAAAAUACUAUAUAACAAUACUAU
Long non-coding RNA from Onychostoma macrolepis, 2878 nucleotides. RefSeq lists it as uncharacterized. Lineage: Eukaryota; Metazoa; Chordata; Actinopteri; Cypriniformes; Cyprinidae. The record is from RefSeq and is a predicted model, not a curated record. The transcript is spliced from 3 exons.